RNAcentral lists this long non-coding RNA (395 nucleotides) under Androctonus crassicauda. The record is from RNAcentral. Lineage: Eukaryota; Metazoa; Arthropoda; Arachnida; Scorpiones; Buthidae.
CUUUUCUGAAAGCACUACUACACGCACUCCAGUAACAAGUGGAUACCGUCAGGAUGUAGUCACCCACACUAUUAAACCUCCUCUGCUGUGUGUGUAGCCAUUUUGUAGAGUUUCUUCAGCCUGGUGUAACUGAAUACUCACUACCUCAGUAGAUUGGGAGGACUGUGCCUUCCCCGACUCAGACAGUGCUCCCCGUAGUCAACGACAAGCCAAGAGGUCCCCACAGAGUAUUAACAAUAAAUGUUUCUGGGUUUCAAGCUCUAAAGGACUGUGGACUCCUGACAGCGUUUCUGUAAAACAUGCUUGUCAUUUGUGUGAGACUGACACGGUGCUCACUGACUUAUUUUUAAGUAGUAGUUCUGUCUAUUGAAAGCUGUAUGUGUGGAAAAGUGGCU